Molecule: microRNA, 22 nt
Filed under: Saccoglossus kowalevskii
Lineage: Eukaryota; Metazoa; Hemichordata; Enteropneusta; Harrimaniidae
Also listed under: 1 other name
Description: Sko-Mir-71_3p* (star (passenger))
Source: RNAcentral
CUCGCUACUUUGGUCUCUCUCC